CCUACGGGGCGCUGCAGUGGGGAAUAUUGGACAAUGGGGGGAACCCUGAUCCAGCCAUGCCGCGUGUGUGAAGAAGGCCCUCGGGUUGUAAAGCACUUUCAGUGAGGAAGAACGCCUGGUGGUUAAUACCCAUCAGGAAAGACAUCACUCACAGAAGAAGCACCGGCUAACUCCGUGCCAGCAGCCGCGGUAAUACGGAGGGUGCGAGCGUUAAUCGGAAUUACUGGGCGUAAAGCGCGCGUAGGUGGCUUGAUAAGCCGGUUGUGAAAGCCCCGGGCUCAACCUGGGAACGGCAUCCGGAACUGUCAAGCUAGAGUGCAGGAGAGGAAGGUAGAAUUCCCGGUGUAGCGGUGAAAUGCGUAGAGAUCGGGAGGAAUACCAGUGGCGAAGGCGGCCUUCUGGACUGACACUGACACUGAGGUGCGAAAGCGUGGGUAGCAAACAGGAUUAGAUACCCUAGUAGUC
RNAcentral lists this ribosomal RNA (465 nucleotides) under Vreelandella stevensii. RNAcentral describes it as "partial 16S ribosomal RNA". It matches the Rfam family "Bacterial small subunit ribosomal RNA", at positions 338 to 795 of the family's 1533-position model. Lineage: Bacteria; Pseudomonadati; Pseudomonadota; Gammaproteobacteria; Oceanospirillales; Halomonadaceae. The record is from RNAcentral.